GGCGAGCGGUCGCGUAACACGUAAGCAACCUGCCCUGAAGUGGGGGACAACAUCCCGAAAGGGGUGCUAAUACCGCAUGUGGUCACGAGUCGGCAUCGGCUUGUGUCUAAAGAUUUAUCGCUUCAGGAUGAGCUCGCGGCCUAUCAGCUUGUUGGUGAGGUAAUGGCUCACCAAGGCGACGACGGGUAGCCGGCCUGAGAGGGUGACCGGCCACACUGGAACUGAGACACGGUCCAGACUCCUACGGGAGGCAGCUGUGGGGAAUCUUGUGCAAUGGGCGAAAGCCUGACACAGCCACGCCGCGUGCGGGAAGAAGGCCUUCGGGUCGUAAACCGCUUUCAGCAGGAACGAAAAUGACGGUACCUGCAGAAGAAGGAGCGGCCAACUACGUGCCAGCAGCCGCGGUGACACGUAGGCUCCAAGCGUUGUCCGGAUUUAUUGGGCGUAAAGAGCUCGUAGGCGGUUCAGCAAGUCGGGUGUGAAAACUAUGGGCUUAACCCCAGACCUGCAUUCGAUACGGGCGAGCUUGAGUAUGGUAGGGGAGUCUGGAAUUCCUGGUGUAGCGGUGGAAUGCGCAGAUAUCAGGAGGAACACCAAUGGCGAAGGCAGGACUCUGGGCCAUUACUGACACUGAGGAGCGAAAGCGUGGGGAGCGAACAGGAUU
Molecule: ribosomal RNA, 664 nt
Filed under: uncultured Streptomycetaceae bacterium
Lineage: Bacteria; Bacillati; Actinomycetota; Actinomycetes; Kitasatosporales; Streptomycetaceae
Description: bacterial SSU rRNA
Rfam family: Bacterial small subunit ribosomal RNA
Source: RNAcentral